CAAGCGGUGGAACAUGUGGUUCAAUUCGACGCUACGCGAGGAACCUUACCUGGGCUCGAAAUGCUUCGGACCAUCUGUAAAAAUACGGCCUUCCCGCAAGGGACCGGAGUAUAGGCGCUGCAUGGCUGUCGUCAGCUCGUGCCGUGAGGUGUUGGGUUAAGUCCCGCAACGAGCGCAGCCCCUGCACGUAGUUGCCACUCGCAAGAGGGAACUCUACGUGGACUGCUCCGGAUAACGGAGAGGAAGGUGGGGAUGACGUCAAGUCCGCAUGGCCUUUAUGUCCAGGGCUACACACGUGUUACAAUGCAGGGCACAAACCGUUGCCAACCCGCGAGGGGGAGCUAAUCGGAAAAAACUCUGCUCAGUUCGGAUUGCAGUCUGCAACUCGACUGCAUGAAGCCGGAAUCGCUAGUAAUGGCGUAUCAGAUCGACGCCGUGAAUACGUUCCCGGGCCUUGUACACACC
This 465-nucleotide ribosomal RNA is filed under the name uncultured bacterium. RNAcentral's name for it is "bacterial SSU rRNA". It matches the Rfam family "Bacterial small subunit ribosomal RNA", at positions 926 to 1391 of the family's 1533-position model. The record is from RNAcentral.